This 1221-nucleotide long non-coding RNA is filed under the name Felis catus (domestic cat). Its description in RNAcentral is "lncRNA (ENSFCAG00000053334.1)". Lineage: Eukaryota; Metazoa; Chordata; Mammalia; Carnivora; Felidae. The record is from RNAcentral.
AUUAUGAGUCACGAGGAGAGUAGAAUGUAUACAGUAGGGGGGCGGUAUGUCAGAGAAGCUUAAGUCUGAGGGUCUGCAUUCUAGAACCAUUGCUGGGUCAGCUUCUGGAGCUGCUCUCACAUCUUGAGAGGGUUGAACAAUAUCUACCCAGAAGACUAGAAAAUAUAUAUGAAUAACAGUGAUUCCUUCAAGACGCUUAACAAUACAUAUCGGUCAAAAGCAUCUAUUUGAUGAUCAUGUUUGUUCCUUCAUUGACUGAGCCAAAUGAAGGCCUCGAGCAGAAAACCAGACCCAGCAUCUCUAAGGACGGCAUGGUGGUUCCAAAGAGCGCAGCCCCGGAGCUCUCAGCUGAAGCUCAGAGUUGGCAAUGCAGACAGAGCUGGGAGAAACCCAGCCACCAUCACCACCACCGCCACCGCAGGCAGGCCAUUGCCCCAGGCAGCAAUAAAGGCUCCCCGAGGCCUUUUGUCAAUUGCCCCCUGAACAGAAAAUAAACAUCUCCACGGCUGCCAUUCAGUGGACAUCCUGUUUACAUGCAGCCACAGGAAACCAGUGCAGAGACCAUCAGGAAAUUGUCAAAGAACAGCAAGAAGUAAAGAGGAUCGAUUCCUGGAGCCAAACAGGAUUGCAGGAAAUAACAAUAGCAAACCAGCAAAAAUUCAUGUUCCAGGGAACCCAUAUUUGAAUUCUCGCCAUUGUUCAAGCUGAAGAUGAUGAACCAUCAUUGCCUGUUUCCCUAUUCAUUAUCCUGUCAACAUCAAGAGCUGUUCCCAAAGAAGCUCUCAAAUUCACCUUUUAUUAAAGGCUACGAAUGAAUGAAAAAAAAAAAAAGAAACAUACCAAAUGGAAUGAGCAUCAUCUAUGCCAAAUAUUAGGUCUAAUAUUUGUGGUAGAAAUUUUACUAGGGAGAAUUUCAAAUCAAGACCAACCACUUCUUUCUCUGCUUAAUUUCUUUUCUGUGAUUUAUAGAUCAAAUGUAUACACACGAGUAUACCAAUGUGUGAAGAAAGUGGGGUUUCCUGAGGUUUACCUUAUGGUACAGGUAAACAUAUAGAGUACUCUGCUCAGAUUUGACUGGGUAAAAAAAUCCCAAACCUCUGUAGGUCAAAAAAUAAUCCAAAUUCAAAAGUUAAGCAACAGAUUUCCAACCAUAUAGUUUCAGUCAAUAUAUACUAUAUAACAUAUAUUUAUAGCUAAUACGUUUGCUAAUAUAUCUCUAGC